This 71-nucleotide transfer RNA is filed under the name Candidatus Berkelbacteria bacterium. RNAcentral describes it as "tRNA-Gly". It matches the Rfam family "tRNA". Rfam says of the family: Transfer RNA (tRNA) molecules are approximately 80 nucleotides in length. Lineage: Bacteria; Candidatus Berkelbacteria. The record is from RNAcentral.
GCGGGUGUAGCUCAGUGGUAGAGUGCCUGGUUGCCAAUCAGGAUAUGGGGGUUCGAUUCCCCUCACCCGCU